RNAcentral lists this unclassified non-coding RNA (221 nucleotides) under uncultured Gammaproteobacteria bacterium. Its description in RNAcentral is "contains 16S-23S intergenic spacer region". It matches the Rfam family "Bacterial small subunit ribosomal RNA", at positions 980 to 1201 of the family's 1533-position model. The record is from RNAcentral. Lineage: Bacteria; Pseudomonadati; Pseudomonadota; Gammaproteobacteria.
UACCCUUGACAUGCCAGGAACCCUCCAGAGAUGGAGGGGUGCCCGAAAGGGAACCUGGACACAGGUGCUGCAUGGCUGUCGUCAGCUCGUGUCGUGAGAUGUUGGGUUAAGUCCCGCAACGAGCGCAACCCUUGCCAUUAGUUGCCACAUUCAGUUGGGCACUCUAAUGGGACUGCCGGUGACAAACCGGAGGAAGGUGGGGAUGACGUAGACCUUGGACC